CUUGUACUGCUACUGCUCCUCCGGUGUCAGCUUGUACCAGCAAGCUCUAUAGAUUUCAUCAAGCCAUUCCUCGCCGUUCAGCUUCUCGUGGAUACACUCCCAAGAUUUGAAAAGAAGCGCUGGGUACUUCUCCAACACCAUUCUCACUUUUGAUUCCCGCGCCCGCUUGUCUGCUUGUUGCAGCGCCAUUUCAAGUACAUACUGUGGGCCGAUGCCUUUGUGUUUCUCUUGCUGCUCUGGCGACAACUUGUCCCAACUCUCAAGCAGCAG
This 270-nucleotide long non-coding RNA is filed under the name Selaginella moellendorffii. RNAcentral's name for it is "long non-coding RNA (SMOE_LNC002280)". Lineage: Eukaryota; Viridiplantae; Streptophyta; Lycopodiopsida; Selaginellales; Selaginellaceae. The record is from RNAcentral.